AGUCAAAAUAUUGCGAAUGUACAAAAUCGAAAGCGGCAGCCGAAAUUUUCGUAGUAAAUCCCGAAUCGCAAGAAAUACUCGACAAUUGUAUUCGGACCCCCGUCUAUGGAACGUUUUACGUAUUAUUUUGUGCAUGGUAUUGACACAAUUGAGCAUAAUCUAUCAAACAUAAUUAAUGAUGUUUUUACGGAGUAUUGGCUUGAAUGAGCGAAAAUGCUAAAAUACUGGAUGAUACGUAAUUAAAUAAAUUACUUUUUGUGUGCAGCUGCAAAGUGCCGCACACAGACCAAUCCGAUUUGUUGAGUGUGUGCGUGUAUGUUGGGGGACGGUGAACGAUUUUGAAAAAUUUACCAUUUUGUGGAAAUUGGUUUUUGGGUUCAAUUUUCAUGCAUCACCAAAAGAUGAACGAAAUGUACUUACCAUUUUUUCAACGCAUCAGUUAAGAAAUCAAAUCAUUUGACGAACGAAGCGCUGCUGUUUGCAAAUUCAAUUUAAUAAGUAGGACUCAUCGUGAAGCGAAAGAUUAAGUGUUUUUCGGUGAUUCUGCCCAUCGCAUUUCAAUGAAGUAGCGUUUGUCAUCAUAGAGAAAGUAUCAUGGUCAAUGCCUGACUAAUGGCUGCUGUUGUUGUUGUUGUUGUGUUUUCUUCGCCUGUUAAUAGCUCAACCAGCCACAAAGUAUGCCAUAAAAUUGAAUUUAUUGUGCGGCUAUUUACAUCCGAUUCAAUUCCAAAUAAUGGAAACAUCAACACAGCACAAAUCAAAUGUUCGCUGUUAUGUUGUACGUGUUUUGUUGUUCUUGGUGGUUUUUUUUUUGUUUGUUUGUUUGUGCAACAACCAUGCGGAUAUUUAUCACAUUUUACUUGGCAAAAGGCAGUGAGCACUCAGCAGAAAAAUGGCAUUGUAUUUAGGCGUAUCGCGUAGAAAAUUGUCAACACAAACGAAACACGGAUGAAUUGCAGUAACUUCAGUGGCUGAAGGGUAGACCCAUUUCAUAGAAUACAUCGACAGACGAGGAUAAAGAAAAGAACUAGCAUAGAACAACAAUACCAACAACAAUACCAAGUCGAUGGAGCAUUGCGUUUGUGGCGCGCGUGUGAGCUCAAAUCGAAACCAGCAUUUGGUCGCUUGGAUUUUCGUUUUCUUUGCCAAACGAUUUCUCCAUCUUAUUGUAAAUGUACGACGCCACACAAACAUACACACACACACUUCAUAUGACAUUUUCAAACGAGGAUUUAUUUGCAUGUUAAAGGCCCUAUUAAAAUAACUAAUCCAUUGCCAUCGAAAAUGCUUUUGAUAAAAGUGAACGCGAUGUGUGGUUCAGUGCUCGUUUUGCAUUUCGUUGCCAUUUUCAAUGAUUUUCAAUGUUUUUUCUUUCUCAUUUCUCUCCGCUUCGCUUUUCCUUCAUUCAUUUUUUCACUAAACUUGUUCUACAACUCAUAUCAUCAUAUGAAAUUUAUGCAUAAGUAAUUUGUUUGAACAUUUUUAUGUCUUUUGACAUGCACAUUGAACGGUGAUAUUUAGUCGCUUGUAAUUUUUUCUUUCUUUCUUCUUCAUCUGUUUCUUCUUCUCUCCGGCUUUUUGGCGUACAUAUAUUGUUGAAUGAAUGCUGGCAACAGUCACAGUCAUAAUUGAACCGAUAAGUUGUAAAAAAGAGCCUUUAGUGUUUUUCAACGAUUAAGAACGAUGAAGAUUAUAAGAAUAGAAGCCAUUUAAACGAAUGCUUAUGUUUCUAUGUCAGCAACUGUGUUCCAACAACAGCAACAACAAACGAUUUUAGAGUUUCGUGCCGUUUUGAUAACUUAACAGGACGUAAAAUAGAGAGAGAGAGAGAGAGAGACUGCACAUAAAUUUUUUUUCGCCAUGAAUAUGUUUACAAUAUUGUCGAUUGAAACGCAAACCCCACUCCAUAUGGAAUCUCGCACACAAAUCAAUGAAGAAGGAUUCAAGUUGUUUCGGCCACUUGAUUUCAAACGAGAACACUGUAUUUCUGUAUAAUAUCCCUUCGACUGAAUUACUACAAUCGGAAAUAACAUGUGUUUAAUGAAGAUUUGUUUAAGCAGUACAUAUUUGCAAAACGUGCGUUUUAAUUUCAAUAUAAAAAAAUAGAUAGAAUUCCGAGAAGAUUAUUACUUGCCCUUUGUUGUUUGUACGCAUCAUGUAGCUCAGAAAAUCAUCUGAAAAAUUGAAACUCAAUCACAAAACGCACAAAUUGUUUCGCUUUAUUUUCUUCCAUUUUAUUAUAUAAUCUUUAUUGAAUACAUAACGACAAUUAAACAUUUUUUUUUUUUUUCGAAAUACAUGAAUUUUUGUUUAAAAA
Molecule: long non-coding RNA, 2317 nt
Organism: Sitodiplosis mosellana (orange wheat blossom midge)
Lineage: Eukaryota; Metazoa; Arthropoda; Insecta; Diptera; Cecidomyiidae
Exons: 2
Source: RefSeq, a predicted model, not a curated record